CUCGGGGACGGUGAAAUUCCGUACCGGCGGUAAAGCCCGCGAGCCUUCGGGUUGAUUCGGUGAAAUUCCGAAGCCGACAGUGUAAAGUCUGGAUGAAAGAGA
This 102-nucleotide non-coding RNA is filed under the name bovine gut metagenome. RNAcentral's name for it is "FMN riboswitch (RFN element)". It matches the Rfam family "FMN riboswitch aptamer (RFN element)", at positions 8 to 131 of the family's 138-position model. From Rfam's summary of the family: The RFN element is a highly conserved domain that is found frequently in the 5'-untranslated regions of prokaryotic mRNAs that encode for flavin mononucleotide (FMN) biosynthesis and transport proteins. This element is a metabolite-dependent riboswitch that directly binds FMN in the absence of proteins. In Bacillus subtilis, the riboswitch most likely controls gene expression by causing premature transcription termination within the 5' untranslated region of the ribDEAHT operon and precluding access to the ribosome-binding site of ypaA mRNA. The record is from RNAcentral.